This 1245-nucleotide ribosomal RNA is filed under the name metagenome. RNAcentral describes it as "bacterial LSU rRNA". It matches the Rfam family "Bacterial large subunit ribosomal RNA", at positions 1564 to 2818 of the family's 2925-position model. The record is from RNAcentral.
UGAGUACGAGAUGCUACGGCAUCGAAGCAGUCUAUGUCAUACUUCCAAGAAAAGCUUGCACUGUCAUAAACAAAGAAUGCCUGUACCAUAACCGACACAGGUGGGUAGGUAGAGUAUACUAAGGGGCGCGAGAUAACUCUCUCUAAGGAACUCGGCAAAAUGACUCCGUAACUUCGGGAGAAGGAGUGCCUUAUUUCUAAGGUUGCAAUAACAAGAUCCAAGCAACUGUUUACCAAAAACACAGGUCUCCGCUAAGUCGUAAGACGAUGUAUGGGGGCUGGCGCCUGCCCAGUGCCAGAAGGUUAAAGAAGUUGGAUAGCAUUAGCGAAGCUGAUAACUGAAGCCCUGGUGAACGGCGGCCGUAACAAUAACGGUCCUAAGGUAGCGAAAUUCCUUGUCGGGUAAGUUCCGACCCGCACGAAAGGCGUAAUGAUUUGGAUACUGUCUCGGAGAGGGGCUCGGUGAAAUAGACUUGUCUAUGAAGAUGCGGACUACCUGCACCUGGACAGAAAGACCCUAUGAAGCUUUACUGUAACUUGAGAUUGAAAUUGGACUUUAUUUGCGCAGUAUAGGUGGGAGGCGUUGAGAAUAAUCUUGCGGGAUUGUUGGAGCCAUCAGUGAGAUACCACUCUUGUAAUGUUAGAUUUCUAACUUUGUAUCAUUAUCUGGUCAAAGAACAGUUUCAGGCGGGCAGUUUGACUGGGGCGGUCGCCUCCCAAAGGGUAACGGAGGCGCACAAAGGUUUCCUCUGAACGGGUAGAAAUCGUAUCUAGAGUGUAAAGGCAUAGGGAAGCUUGACUGUGAGACCUACAAGUCGAGCAGGGACGAAAGUCGGUCUUAGUGAUCUGACGGUGCUGAGUGGAAAGGCCGUCACUCAACGGAUAAAAGUUACUCUAAGGAUAACAGGCUGAUCUCCCCCAAGAGUUCACAUCGACGGGGAGGUUUGGCACCUCGAUGUCGGCUCAUCGCAUCCUGGGGCGGUAGUCCGUCCCAAGGGUUGGGCUGUUCGCCCAUGAAAGCGGUACGCGAGCUGGGUUCAGAACGUCGUGAGACAGUUCGGUCCAUAUCCGGUGUAGGCGUUAGAAUAUUGAGAGGAGCCUUCUCUAGUACGAGAGGACCGAGAAGGACAUACCUCUGGUGUACCAGUUAUCGUGCCAACGGUAAACGCUGGGUAGCUAUGUAUGGAGUGGAUAACCGCUGAAAGCAUCUAAGUGGGAAGCCCACCUCAAGAUAAGUAUUCUCAUC